GACGAGCGCUGGCGGCGUGCUUAACACAUGCAAGUCGAACGGAAAGGCCCUGCUUUUGUGGGGUGCUCGAGUGGCGAACGGGUGAGUAACACGUGAGUAACCUGCCCUUGACUUUGGGAUAACUUCAGGAAACUGGGGCUAAUACCGGAUAGGAGCUCCUGCUGCAUGGUGGGGGUUGGAAAGUUUCGGCGGUUGGGGAUGGACUCGCGGCUUAUCAGCUUGUUGGUGGGGUAGUGGCUUACCAAGGCUUUGACGGGUAGCCGGCCUGAGAGGGUGACCGGCCACAUUGGGACUGAGAUACGGCCCAGACUCCUACGGGAGGCAGCAGUGGGGAAUAUUGCACAAUGGGCGGAAGCCUGAUGCAGCAACGCCGCGUGCGGGAUGACGGCCUUCGGGUUGUAAACCGCUUUCGCCUGUGACGAAGCGUGAGUGACGGUAAUGGGUAAAGAAGCACCGGCUAACUACGUA
RNAcentral lists this ribosomal RNA (468 nucleotides) under uncultured bacterium. RNAcentral's name for it is "partial 16S ribosomal RNA". It matches the Rfam family "Bacterial small subunit ribosomal RNA", at positions 28 to 507 of the family's 1533-position model. The record is from RNAcentral.